This 283-nucleotide long non-coding RNA is filed under the name Elaeis guineensis (African oil palm). RNAcentral describes it as "long non-coding RNA (EGUI_LNC022848)". Lineage: Eukaryota; Viridiplantae; Streptophyta; Magnoliopsida; Arecales; Arecaceae. The record is from RNAcentral.
UUACGGUAUAAUUUCUCCUCUUAGGAUCGUAUGUCAUAUUCGAUAUCUAUCUAUCUAUGUCACAUAAGUCUUAGAUCAGAUACCUAAUUUGAGCACCCAAAAGAAAUAUCUCACAUUUUGGGAUCUCAUAUCUGGCUUGAUCAGGUUCACAUGAUUGUGGGGUAAUUAUGUUCAGUCAUUCAAAUCUGACCUCAUCUUAUUUUUUAUCAAGGUGAUACAUAUAAUAUUAAUAUAUAUGUGUAUUCUCUUGGUCACAAAACAAAUGUACAAGUGUCUUGUAUCA